UCUACGGGGGGCAGCAGUGAGGAAUAUUGGUCAAUGGACGAGAGUCUGAACCAGCCAAGUAGCGUGAAGGAUGACUGCCCUAUGGGUUGUAAACUUCUUUUAUAUGGGAAUAAAAUGUUCCACGUGUGGGAUUUUGUAUGUACCAUAUGAAUAAGGAACGGCUAACUCCGUGCCAGCAGCCGCGGUAAUACGGAGGAUCCGAGCGUUAUCCGGAUUUAUUGGGUUUAAAGGGAGCGUAGGUGGAUUGUUAAGUCAGUUGUGAAAGUUUGCGGCUCAAACGUAAGAUUGCAGUUGAAACUGGCAGUCUUGAGUACAGUAGAGGUGGGCGGAAUGCGUGGUGUAGCGGGGAAAUGCUUAGAUAUCACGAAGAACUCCGAUUGCGAAGGCAGCUUACUAAACUGCCACUGACAUUGAUGCUCGAAAGUGUGGGUAUCAAACAGGAUUAGAUACCCCUGUAGUC
Molecule: ribosomal RNA, 460 nt
Filed under: uncultured bacterium
Lineage: Bacteria
Description: partial 16S ribosomal RNA
Rfam family: Bacterial small subunit ribosomal RNA
Source: RNAcentral